GGUAGUCCACCCCGUAAACGUUGGGAACUAGUUGUGGGGACCAUUCCACGGUUUCCGUGACGCAGCUAACGCAUUAAGUUCCCCGCCUGGGGAGUACGGCCGCAAGGCUAAAACUCAAAGGAAUUGACGGGGACCCGCACAAGCGGCGGAGCAUGCGGAUUAAUUCGAUGCAACGCGAAGAACCUUACCAAGGCUUGACAUACACCAGAACGGGCCAGAAAUGGUCAACUCUUUGGACACUGGUGAACAGGUGGUGCAUGGUUGUCGUCAGCUCGUGUCGUGAGAUGUUGGGUUAAGUCCCGCAACGAGCGCAACCCUCGUUCUAUGUUGCCAGCACGUAAUGGUGGGAACUCAUGGGAUACUGCCGGGGUCAACUCGGAGGAAGGUGGGGAUGACGUCAAAUCAUCAUGCCCCUUAUGUCUUGGGCUUCACGCAUGCUACAAUGGCCGGUACAAAGGGCUGCAAUACCGUGAGGUGGAGCGAAUCCCAAAAAGCCGGUCCCAGUUCGGAUUGAGGUCUGCAACUCGACCUCAUGAAGUCGGAGUCGCUAGUAAUCGCAGAUCAGCAACGCUGCGGUGAAUACGUUCCCGGGUCUUGUACACACCGCCCGUCAAGUCAUGAAAGUCGGUAACACCUGAAGCCGGUGGCCCAACCCUUGUGGAGGGAGCCGUCGAAGGUGGGAUCGGUAAUUAGGACUAAGUCGUAACAAGGUAGCCGUACCGGAAGGUGC
Molecule: ribosomal RNA, 730 nt
Filed under: uncultured bacterium
Lineage: Bacteria
Description: bacterial SSU rRNA
Rfam family: Bacterial small subunit ribosomal RNA
Source: RNAcentral